Molecule: long non-coding RNA, 3494 nt
Filed under: Equus caballus (horse)
Lineage: Eukaryota; Metazoa; Chordata; Mammalia; Perissodactyla; Equidae
Description: lncRNA (ENSECAG00000049142.1)
Source: RNAcentral
CUUCAGGUCUGGUAGUAACGGCUCCCCUUUGUCACUGGCCCUGGGUACUCAUCAUCUCUCCUUUAAUUCAUUCAUUUUCCAUUUAUUCAACUCUUCUCAAACACCCUGUCUGAAGGUGCCGGUAAAAUGUAAGACCAUGUCAAUUGCCCAUAUCAGAGAACAUUCUUGUAUGUUACACUUGGAGUAGCUUGGAGGGAAGACUAUUGAAAACUAGGGGGAGGCUAGCCCCCAAGCCUCCCCUGGGGCCACCACUGUUUGUCUCCCCAGGACAUUAUGCAGCAGGCGUCAAUAACUGACUCAAUGAAUGAGUUGAUCCUGCCCGGCCCCUCCACCGCCCAAUAGCAGACCGCCUCUGCUUUCCUUCCACCCGGCCUGCUUCAGUCUCCCCGGCCAAGCCCAGGUGACAGGCUCCUUCCUUUCCCGGUCCCUGAGCCAGCCCUCUGGUUAUACAGCGGUGGGUGGGUGGAGAAGCCCUGCGCCCAGGCCCCCAGGGGAGGCGAGGAGCCGCGGCCGAGCAGCGGGAUCAGGAAACUAGGUCCCCAGCGUCCUCCACCCUAACAGGCUGGGGGCUUUGAGGCUGUCACUUCACCUCCGCGUGUGCAAUGGGGACAGCCACGACCCCGGCCCCACACAGCAGAUGAUCCAAAAGAUGGCACAGAGCUUCGCAAGCAAAAGAUGCAGGCGCUGACUCGGCUUCUCGGCUGCCUGCCCUGCAACCCUUUGGGGCACCAGACACCAGAGCUCCCGACACCGCAGCGUCCUUUCAAAGGCAUUUUGUUGCUCUCACACAGAGGCCUCCGGAAGCCCGGAGGCUCCACCGGAGAGAGGAGGCUGCCCAGGGAGGCCUGAGGAGCCGGCAGAGGAAAGAGGAAACAGACUGUGGAGGUGAUAGUGAGGGUCGCUGGUCACCCACCUGGAGCGGAAGCUUCCCCCUUGGGCAGGCCCAGAACGAUUUAUAGGCCGGCUGCUCUGUGACCCAGCUGACCCAGGGCUGGCCACUCCCUAGGAGCCCAAGCAGCUGCUGAAGCAUCCCCCUGCCCAAGCUGUGCCCAGUCCCUCGAUUCUUGCAAGGGUGGUAGGGCCACUUCCUCAAACGCCCUUCCCCAGUGACCCAGGGCCAGGUGGCGUCUCCUUGGGCGACAGCUCUGAGGGAGCAGGGUAUCUGUGAGUCGGGCCGGGCUCCCCACCCAGCUGCCAUCCUUGGCACAGACACUCACCAAAGUGCCUUUGCUCAUCAUGAGCCAUGGCAGCAAUGAUCUCACUGCCACCCUAGACAGCCAGACCACGUCUGUCCCUUGAUGUCAAGUGACCGUUACUAGGCCACCUGAGGCAGACGAGUGUCUCAUCAGCAAACUCAUGGAGGACAAAUGGUCAGCGAGAGCCCUUCCUCUGUCAGCACUCAGGACGACGAGGCAGAGGCUGAGAAAGGGCACUGACCAACACCUGGGUCUGGGGUUGGCUGAGGGUCCCACUUCCAGGAGUUAGCCUGGGACAGGGUUAAUUCACCGGGAGAUGGGGAGACCCUUGCAGCCCCCGCAGCCCAUGGUCUGGGGCCCCAGUGUGGACACUGCCCCUUCCCAGCCAGGCCCCUCUGAGCCAGCCUGAAUUCCAGGCCCAGCUGCUGGCAGACAAGACGCAGGGAGGGACGGGGACAGGGUGACAGGCACUCUCUUGGUUUUUGCUUGCAUGUCACCUGCCAAGGAACCUCAAACUCGGACCCCCAAAGUCGCAGCCCCACAUCCCCCUUGGGUAGAAUUUGGAGGUGGCCGAGAUGGGCGAGAGGGACCCGAGAGGGAUUGCCGGGUCUGGGCGGUCCAGUGCCCUGUCUUAAGGGCAGCGAGUGCUCAGGCCGCAUGGCGCGCUCCCACUCCGGAGAGUGCGGUCAGCCCCCGUUUGCCGGCGGAGGAACCAGCAAGCAGGUAACAAGGGGGCACAGGGCCCUGGAAGGAAGGAACGGCAGUCACUUCGUCCACUGAGCCUGCGACGCAUUUUCGCCCCGACCUCGCGAGCUGCGGUGCAGUCUCGGGGCGGCCCGUCGCCUCUCAGUGGGUCUGGGGAGCAGGUCUGAAGUCGCCUCUGCGGCCUCCCGCUCCCGCCCUCGCUCUACCAUGCCGGUGUGAACCAGGAGCUCAACGUCCGGCGCCGCCGCGGGCCCCCGGCGGGAGCCGGCGGCCGGCAGGAGCGGUGCGGGGGCGCCCUCCAGCGGCCGCGGUCGGGAAGGCGGCCGGCUGGAAGGCUGCGAAGCGCCGGCCGCGCGGGGCGAGCUUGCGCUGGGGGGACCUGGGGACCGCGCCGCGCCCCAGUGCCGGGCCUCGCGGACGGCGCCCCGUGUCACUGACUGGAUCGCAGUUUUAUCCCCAUCAGGUGCGGAUGUGUCCCCGGCUUGUCUCUGUGAUGGACACAGCCCCUGGUAUGGUCUGCCCCCGCCCCGCAGCCCAGCGAGGAGGCAGGCCCCGCCCCGCCCAGGGGGCGCGUGCGGAACUGGAGCACACGCCCAGUGAAGCAGCCCGUGGGAGCCCACCCAGCAGGCACCAGCGCCUCCCUCUGAGCUCAGAUCCUGCCACACCCAGGCCAAGAGCACUUCUGGAGCAAAGACACGGCAGACGCUGUUUCCAGUAUUACGGCUUUAAAUGUUUCAACAGCUUUGUUGAGAUAUAAUUCACACACCAUUCAAUUCACCCAUUUAAAGUGUACAAUUCUGUGGUUUCAGUAUAUUACAUCAUUAAUUUUUUAACGUGGUAAAAUAUAUAGAACAUAAAAUUUGCCAUUUUAAAACCCUUUUUUUAAGUCUUAAGUGUUCCGUGGCAUUUAAGUAUAUUCAGUGUUCUGCAACCAUCACCACUACCCAUUUCCAGAACUUUUGCAUCAUUCUGAACAGUAACUUUGUCCUCGUUAAGCAAUAACUCCCCAUUUCUCCCUCCCCCCAGCCCCUGGUAACCUCUAAUCUACUUUCCAUCUCUAAGAAUUUGUCUACUCUAGAUGUUUCAUAUGAGUGGAAUCAUACAGUAUUUGUCCUUUUAUGCCACUCAGCACAGUGUCUCCAAGGUUCAUCCAUGUUCAAGGGUGUGUCAGAACUUCAUUCCUCUUCGUGGCUGAGUAAUAUUCCAUCGUAUGGCUGGAGCACGUGUUUCUCCACUCAUCUGUUGACGGCCACUUGAGUUGUUCCCCCCUUUUCCCUGUUGUGAACAGUGUUGCAGCGAACAUUGGCGUACAGCGUCUGUUCGAGGCCCUGCCCUCACUUCCUCUGAGUGCGUCCUCGAGUGGAAGGCAAUUCUCUCUUUAGCUCAUGGAGAGGGGACAAACUGUUCUCCAGAACGCGGCACCAGCACUGCGUGAGGGUUCCAAGUUCUCUGCCUCCUCACCAGCGCAGGUUACUUUCAUCAUUAUUAUUACUGUAUAGCGUUGAUUUUUAAAAGUAAUGUUUGCAUUACAAGCUAUAUAUUCGUUGAGAAGAAUGUAAAAGCUACAGAGAUAACAAACAUUUUGCAUUUUCC